AGGGGCAGCGGGGUUGUAGCAAUACAACUGCCGGCGACCGGCGCACGGGUGAGUAACACGUAUGUAACCUGCCCUCUGCAGGGGGAUAAGCGGAAGAAAUUCCGUCUAAUACCGCAUAAUACAAUUUGGAGACAUCUCCGGGUUGUCAAAGGAGUGAUCCGGCAGAGGAUGGACAUGCGGCGCAUUAGCUAGUCGGCGGGGUAACGGCCCACCGAGGCUACGAUGCGUAGGGGUUCUGAGAGGAAGGUCCCCCACACUGGUACUGAGACACGGACCAGACUCCUACGGGAGGCAGCAGUGAGGAAUAUUGGUCAAUGGGCGGAAGCCUGAACCAGCCAAGUCGCGUGAGGGAAGACGGUCCUAUGGAUUGUAAACCUCUUUUGCAGGGGAGCAAGGCGCGGUACGUGUACCGCGAAGGAGAGUACCCUGAGAAAAAGCAUCGGCUAACUCCGUGCCAGCAGCCGCGGUAAUACGGAGGAUGCGAGCGUUAUCCGGAUUUAUUG
This 503-nucleotide ribosomal RNA is filed under the name uncultured bacterium. RNAcentral describes it as "bacterial SSU rRNA". It matches the Rfam family "Bacterial small subunit ribosomal RNA", at positions 65 to 556 of the family's 1533-position model. The record is from RNAcentral.